AUAUCAGUCAUGCAUAGCAUAUCAAUAAGCGGAGGAAAAGAAACUAACAAGGAUUCCCUUAGUAACGGCGAGUGAAGCGGGAAGAGCUCAAAUUUGAAAUCUUCAAGGUUCUACCUUGACGAAUUGUAGUUUAAAGAAGUGUUUUCUGUUAGUGGAGUGGCAAAAGUUCUUUGGAAUAGGACAUCAUAGAGGGUGAGAAUCCCGUAUUUGGUCAUCCUUUCUAGCUUUGUGAUACACUUUCAAAGAGUCGGAUUGUUUGGGAAUGCAGUCCAAAAUGGGUGGUAAAUUUCAUCUAAAGCUAAAUAUUGGCGAGAGACCGAUAGCGAACAAGUACCGUGAGGGAAAGAUGAAAAGAACUUUGAAAAGAGAGUUAAACAGUACGUGAAAUUGUCAAAAGGGAAGCGUUUGACACCAGUGUUGUUUUUCCGAAAAUCAAUUACGAAUGUUUUAUUUUUGAGGAGUUAUGACUUCAUCGGCUUGCUUCUCUCUUUACUGAAACUUUCUUAAUGCACUUUUCGGUUAACAAGUCAACAUCAAUUUCCUUUGUUGUAAAAGAGUAUGAGGAAGGUGGCUUUCUUUUCGGAGAAAGUGUUUAUAGCCUUGUACUCUGCAAUCAGGAGAGAUUGAGGUCUGCAGCGUAGAUCCUUCGGGGUUAGAUACAUUUGUGCUAAGUUAUAGCUUUUCAUAGACAACUUGUUGACUAUGAUUAGUCAUUGUAGCUUACUCGCUUACUGCUAUUUUACCUACGCUUAGGAUGUUGAUGUGAUACUGCGAGCA
RNAcentral lists this ribosomal RNA (777 nucleotides) under uncultured Neocallimastigales. RNAcentral's name for it is "partial large subunit ribosomal RNA". It matches the Rfam family "Eukaryotic large subunit ribosomal RNA", at positions 22 to 646 of the family's 3401-position model. The record is from RNAcentral. Lineage: Eukaryota; Fungi; Neocallimastigomycota; Neocallimastigomycetes; Neocallimastigales.